UGCGCAGGCGGUUUGUUAAGAUAGGCGUGAAAUCCCCGGGCUCAACCUGGGAACUGCGCUUAUGACUGGCAAGCUAGAGUACGGCAGAGGGGGGUGGAAUUCCACGUGUAGCAGUGAAAUGCGUAGAGAUGUGGAGGAACACCAAUGGCGAAGGCAGCCCCCUGGGUCGAUACUGACGCUCAUGCACGAAAGCGUGGGUAGCAAACAGGAUUAGAUACCCUGGUAGUCCACGCCCUAAACGAUGUCAACUAGGUGUUGGGAGGGUAAAACCUUUUAGUACCGGAGCUAACGCGUGAAGUUGACCGCCUGGGGAGUACGGCCGCAAGGUUAAA
RNAcentral lists this ribosomal RNA (332 nucleotides) under uncultured Dechloromonas sp. Its description in RNAcentral is "bacterial SSU rRNA". It matches the Rfam family "Bacterial small subunit ribosomal RNA", at positions 568 to 898 of the family's 1533-position model. The record is from RNAcentral. Lineage: Bacteria; Pseudomonadati; Pseudomonadota; Betaproteobacteria; Rhodocyclales; Azonexaceae.